RNAcentral lists this transfer RNA (66 nucleotides) under Suwallia bimaculata. Its description in RNAcentral is "tRNA-Gly". The record is from RNAcentral. Lineage: Eukaryota; Metazoa; Arthropoda; Insecta; Plecoptera; Chloroperlidae.
AUCUAUCUAGUAUAGUAUGUAUAAUUGACUUCCAAUCAAAAGGCCUGAAAAAAUUCAGGAUAGAUA